Molecule: non-coding RNA, 74 nt
Organism: Podarcis lilfordi (Lilford's wall lizard)
Lineage: Eukaryota; Metazoa; Chordata; Lepidosauria; Squamata; Lacertidae
Source: the annotation of a GenBank genome assembly
GCUGGGGUAGCUCAGUUGGUUAGAGCAUGAGGCUCUUAAUCUCAGGGCCAUGGGUUCAAGCCCCAUGUUGGGCA